AAGCUUGACCUUGCAAAAGCCUACGAUCGGGUCGACUGGUGUUUUUUGGAAGGGGUUCUCCAGAAGAUAGGAUUUGAUGAAAAGUGGAUUAAGUGGGUUAUGACUUGUGUUAGAUCGGUGAAAUUCUCCGUCCGGUGUAAUGGUGAGAUGCUCAAAUCAUUUACACCAUCCAGAGGACUCAGACAAGGUGACCCACUAAGCCCAUAAUUAUUCCUAUUUGUUGCUGAUACCUUGUCCUCCCUUCUGAGUUUUGAGGUGGAUUCAGGGAGCAUUACACCCAUAAAGAUCGAGCUUGGAUGCCUGGGGAUAUCCAACCUCCUAUUUGCUAAUGAUAGCCUGUUAUUUUUCAAGGCCUCUGGGGACCAAGCAUAG
This 372-nucleotide ribosomal RNA is filed under the name Triticum aestivum (bread wheat). RNAcentral's name for it is "partial small subunit ribosomal RNA". The record is from RNAcentral. Lineage: Eukaryota; Viridiplantae; Streptophyta; Magnoliopsida; Poales; Poaceae.